This is an RNA transcript of Grammomys surdaster, 997 nucleotides long. It is a transcript of the gene named heterogeneous nuclear ribonucleoprotein D-like pseudogene, with no coding region annotated. NCBI's taxonomy places the organism in Eukaryota, Metazoa, Chordata, Mammalia, Rodentia, Muridae. The record is from RefSeq and is a predicted model, not a curated record. The transcript has 2 exons.
AUGGGGGUUGGGAGCAUUGAGAACAGAGGAUUUGGGUUUGUGCUUUUCAAGGAUGCUGCUAGUGUGGACAAGGUUUUGGAACUGAAAGAACACAAACUGGAUGGGAAAUUGAUAGACCCCAAAAGGGCCAAAGCUUUAAAGGGGAAAGAACCCCCUAAAAAGGUUUUUGUGGGUGGAUUGAGUCCAGAUACUUCAGAAGAACAAAUUAAAGAAUACUUUGGAGCCUUUGGAGAGAUAGAAAAUAUUGAGCUUCCCAUGGAUACAAAAACAAAUGAAAGAAGAGGAUUCUGUUUUAUCACAUAUACAGAUGAAGAGCCAGUAAAGAAAUUGUUAGAAAGCAGAUACCAUCAAAUAGGUUCUGGGAAGUGCGAAAUCAAAGUUGCACAACCCAAAGAAGUGUACAGGCAGCAGCAGCAGCAACAGAAAGGUGGCAGAGGGGCUGCAGCUGGUGGAAGAGGUGGUGCUAGGGGACGCGGAAGAGGUCAGGGCCAAAACUGGAACCAAGGAUUUAAUAACUAUUAUGAUCAAGGAUAUGGAAAUUAUAAUAGUGCCUAUGGUGGUGAUCAGAACUAUAGUGGCUAUGGCGGCUAUGAUUAUACUGGGUAUAACUAUGGGAACUAUGGAUAUGGACAGGGAUAUGCAGACUACAGCGGUCAGCAGAGCACUUACGGCAAGGCUUCCCGUGGGGGCGGCAAUCACCAGAACAAUUACCAGCCCUACUAAAGGAGGACGCUGGGAGAGCAGGAGGUGUAAAGAAACCAUCUUACAGGACGACAUUGAAGAUUGCUUGAUCUUCUGUUGACCUAAGAUGAUUAUUUUGUAAAAGACUGUAGUGUACGACACAAUUGUGUCCAACUGUAUAUAGCUGCCAAUUAGUUCCUUUGUUUUUACUUUGUCCUUUGCUACCUGUGUUAUGACUCAAUGUGGACUUGUGUUUAUACAAAUUUUUAUUUGUGUGGUUUCAUGUUAAACCUCAAAUAAAUGCUUCCUUAUGUGA